CUUCACAGCUCAUUUACUGGGAGCUGCCUGAAAAAUCAUCGAGGCCAGUUCCCAAAUUCUUGGCAUGGGAUUACUUUUUACAAACAAACUCUUUCUUAGAACUCUACUCUGCGAGACAGAAAACAUGGAACAUCGACGUGGAUGGUCUCUUGACUCCUCCAAAAUUACAGCCUAGUGGGGACCAUCACGCUAAUUCCACCUGUUGAGAGACCACAGCUCACUGUUGGGGAGAGGAGAUGAAAACUGUGUAUCAGUUCAUGUCCUCUGUUUUUGAAAAGCCAGGAAAACUGAUUUCUUUCAGAGGACUGGUAGGUUUGGAGCUUGGAGAGGCCUGGAAUCACCAAGUUGGAAGAGGCACAGCUGGAUGAGGAACCUGAAGCACAGCAAUGGAUGGAGAGAUUCUGGAUGAACAUGGAUAUUCUGCCCCAAAGGGUUUUCACUCUUUACAACUAUUUUGUUCAUGCCUGGGACACACCAGGCAUUGCAGGCUCUGGGGACAGCAAUGAGCAAGAUAGACCCAGCAGAGCUCACAGUCUGGCGUGAGAGGUAGAUACCCAUCGAAUCAUCACUCAUAUAUUACAUAUGGCAUCCAGUUCUUUAAGAUCCAUGUUGCUUCUUCGGAGACACUGCAUGGCUGAGUGACCAACUGUGCUUUCUUAUGCAGCCGUGACCAGCUCAGCCUCAGCCAUGUGCCACCUUGUGCUCGCUUUCUGUCCUUCCUGAUUGGCUUCCAUUUUCCUGUACCCCACCAUGCACCCUGUAAUGACAUAUUGGUACCUAAACUUUGCCUCCAACUCUGUGGUCUAGGCAACCAAGCAUAACGUAAAGAGAAGAAAUUGAGAGUUGUUAGAUCGUAACCACUCAAAAACUUAUAGGAGGACUGGCUGUACCUAAUGUUGGCAAGAAUACAGAGCAAGUAGAACUCUUGUUCACUGUUCGUGGGAAUGUAAAAUGGAACAGCCACUUUGGAAAACAGUUUGGAAGUUUCUUAAAAGGUCAGAUAUACACCUACCAUAUGGCCCAAUCUUUGCACUCCGAAGUAUUUAUCCAAGAGAAAAAAAAAUACGUCCACACAAAGACUUGUACAUGAAUGCUUAUAGCAGCUUUAUUUAAAAUAGCCUAAACUGGAAAACACUCAAAUGUCACUUAGCUGCUGAACGCAUAGACAAAUGGUGGUGUAUUCAUACAAGGGAAUUCUACUCAGCAAUAAAAAUGAAUCAACUAUUGAUAUACACCACAUGGGCAAAUUUCAAAAUAAUUAUGCUGAGUGAAUGAAGACAAAGGAAGAGUCCUACUAUUUGGCCCCAUUUCCAUAAAUUCUAGAACAUGUAAAUUAAUCUACAAUAGCAGAAAGGUCAGGGUUGCCUGGGAACAGUGUGGAGGAGGGAUGGAUUGCAAAGAGGCACAAGGAAGUUUUAGGGCUGAUGAAAAAGUCUGUUACGUUGAUUUGCUGAUAGUUUCAUGGGAAUGCCUUAACAAAGAUGUAAAAAUGAGAGAAAAAAAUUGCAAAGAAAUCACCAGGCCCAUAAGUGAAUUCAACCAAAUCCUUAGAGAAAUGAUUGAUAACUGCAAUGCUAUCUAAAGCAUUUCAGUAUAUAGAGAAAAAGAAAAGCUUCAAAAUUCCUUUUAUGAAAUCAGCAUAACUUUGAUAUUAAAAACCUGGCAAAAAUAUCACAUUAAUGAAGAGCAUGCUGUUCUGCACACACUUAGAGAGUUAUUAUUAACUCUGUAAAUCAACUACACUGCAUCUGACCUAGUUUCAAGAUUUUUCUUCGCCUUUGGUUUCUAGAAGUUUAAUUACAAAGUGCCUUUGUGUGGAUUUCCUUGGACUUGUCCUGUUUGGGAAAAUUAUCAAUCAGGUAAGACUGGAAGAGGAGGAAGGCUGAUGCCAGUGACAGGGCUUCUGAUCAGCGGGAUCCAGAGCCAGGAGGGGGUCUCAGACACCUCAGUGUGGCCUCUUUGACGGCUCUCUGGGAACAUCUCUCCACACUGUGAUCCACACCUGCUCUCCGUGCCCAUCCCUCCCACCUUAGUUUUUAUUUUCAUCAUCUCAUGCCUUUUCUUUAAAAACCUCUACCAGACUCUGAGCCUCCUCUCCCAGCAAUGCAUCCUCUACAAUGUGCAGCAAUCUAAUUAUGGGACAUAGUUAUGAUGCAGUUACUCCUCUGCUCACUUCCUUUCAUGGGCUCUGCUCUCUCAUGGCCCACAGGACAAGGUGCCUCAUUCUCUACCGUUCCGUCACUUGGCAUUACAUGUAACAUUCUGGCUGAUGUUCUGACCAUGCCAAAGAACUGCACCACAUUGUUCAUGUCUUUGCAAUGCCAUUCCCUCUGCCUGGAUGGUCUUCCCUCCCUCUCAUUGGUAGGCAGUGGGUCUGCUCCCCAGGUCUGACUUGUGCCUCCACCGUCCAACCCAGCACAGGACCUGACACCGCAGAUAUCACUGGAGACUUGUAGGGAGGAAAUGCUCCCAAACCUCGCUCUGUGUCUUUUCAUUUGUCUGGUCCUGAUCUGUACCCUUUAUAGUGCAACUGUAAUCACAAGUAUAGCACUUGCCUGAGGUUUGUGAGCCAUCUUAGCAAAUUAUCAAACCUGAGAGGGCAUGAGAACCUCCCAAAUUUGUAGCUAGUUGAUCAGAAUAGUGGGUGGCCUGAGGACCCCCAAAGUGUGACUGGCAUCUGAGGUGAAGGCAGUCUCACUGAGGGCUGUGACCUAACCUGUGGAGUCUGUGAUAAGUGUA
Manis javanica (Malayan pangolin) is the source of this 2739-nucleotide long non-coding RNA. RefSeq lists it as uncharacterized. NCBI's taxonomy places the organism in Eukaryota, Metazoa, Chordata, Mammalia, Pholidota, Manidae. The record is from RefSeq and is a predicted model, not a curated record.